GCGCAGCAGGCGCGAAACCUCCGCAAUACACGAAAGUGUGACGGGGCCAUCCCGAGUGCCGUCCGCUGAGGACGGCUUUUCCCCAGUGUACACAGCUGGGGGAAUAAGGAGAGGGCAAGCCUGGUGUCAGCCGCCGCGGUAAUACCAGCUCUCCGAGUGGUGGGGACGCUUAUUGGGCCUAAAGCAUCCGUAGCCGGCUGGGCAAGUCCUCCGUUAAAUCCAACGAUUCAAUCGUUGGGCUGCGGGGGAUACUGUCCAGCUUGGGGGGCGGGAGAGGCCGACGGUAUUCCCGGGGUAGGGGUGAAAUCCUAUAAUCCCGGGAGGACCACCAGUGGCGAAGGCUGUCGGCUAGAACGCGCCCGACGGUGAGGGAUGAAAGCUGGGGGAGCGAACCGGAUUAGAUACCCCUGUAGU
This 414-nucleotide ribosomal RNA is filed under the name uncultured microorganism. RNAcentral's name for it is "bacterial SSU rRNA". It matches the Rfam family "Archaeal small subunit ribosomal RNA", at positions 330 to 745 of the family's 1478-position model. The record is from RNAcentral.